RNAcentral lists this ribosomal RNA (484 nucleotides) under uncultured bacterium. RNAcentral's name for it is "partial 16S ribosomal RNA". It matches the Rfam family "Bacterial small subunit ribosomal RNA", at positions 30 to 507 of the family's 1533-position model. The record is from RNAcentral.
AUUGAACGCUGGCGGCAGACCUAACACAUGCAAGUCGAGCGGAUGAAGGGAGCUUGCUCCUGGAUUCAGCGGCGGACGGGUGAGUAAUGCCUAGGAAUCUACCUGGUAGUGGGGGAUAACGUCCGGAAACGGGCGCUAAUACCGCAUACGUCCUGAGGGAGAAAGUGGGGGAUCUUCGGACCUCACGCUAUCAGAUGAGCCUAGGUCGGAUUAGCUAGUUGGUGGGGUAAAGGCCUACCAAGGCGACGAUCCGUAACUGGUCUGAGAGGAUGAUCAGUCACACUGGAACUGAGACACGGUCCAGACUCCUACGGGAGGCAGCAGUGGGGAAUAUUGGACAAUGGGCGAAAGCCUGAUCCAGCCAUGCCGCGUGUGUGAAGAAGGUCUUCGGAUUGUAAAGCACUUUAAGUUGGGAGGAAGGGCAGUAAGUUAAUACCUUGCUGUUUUGACGUUACCAACAGAAUAAGCACCGGCUAACUUCGUG